RNAcentral lists this ribosomal RNA (496 nucleotides) under uncultured bacterium. RNAcentral describes it as "partial 16S ribosomal RNA". It matches the Rfam family "Bacterial small subunit ribosomal RNA", at positions 28 to 506 of the family's 1533-position model. The record is from RNAcentral.
GAUGAACGCUGGCGGCGUGCCUAAUACAUGCAAGUCGAGCGAGCAGACGAGGAGCUUGCUCCUCUGACGUUAGCGGCGGACGGGUGAGUAACACGUGGAUAACCUACCUAUAAGACUGGGAUAACUUCGGGAAACCGGAGCUAAUACCGGAUAAUAUAUUGAACCGCAUGGUUCAAUAGUGAAAGACGGUUUUGCUGUCACUUAUAGAUGGAUCCGCGCCGCAUUAGCUAGUUGGUAAGGUAACGGCUUACCGAGGCAACGAUGCGUAGCCGACCUGAGAGGGUGAUCGGCCACACUGGAACUGAGACACGGUCCAGACUCCUACGGGAGGCAGCAGUAGGGAAUCUUCCGCAAUGGGCGAAAGCCUGACGGAGCAACGCCGCGUGAGUGAUGAAGGUCUUCGGAUCGUAAAACUCUGUUAUUAGGGAAGAACAAAUGUGUAAGUAACUAUGCACGUCUUGACGGUACCUAAUCAGAAAGCCACGGCUAACUACGU